UACGUAGGGGGCAAGCGUUAUCCGGAUUUACUGGGUGUAAAGGGAGCGUAGACGGAAUUGCAAGUCUGAUGUGAAAAUCCGGGGCCCAACCCCGGAACUGCAUUGGAAACUGUAUUUCUAGAGUGUCGGAGAGGCAAGUGGAAUUCCUGGUGUAGCGGUGAAAUGCGUAGAUAUCAGGAGGAACACCAGUGGCGAAGGCGGCUCGCUGGACGAUGACUGACGUUGAGGCUCGAAAGCGUGGGGAGCAAACAGG
Molecule: ribosomal RNA, 253 nt
Filed under: uncultured bacterium
Lineage: Bacteria
Description: partial 16S ribosomal RNA
Rfam family: Bacterial small subunit ribosomal RNA
Source: RNAcentral